UACAGAGGUCCCAAGCGUUGUUCGGAAUUACUGGGCGUAAAGGGUGCGUAGGCGGCGCUCUAAGUCGGAUGUGAAAACUCUGGGCUCAACCCAGAGCCUGCAUCCGAAACUGGAGUGCUAGAGUUCUGGAGGGGGUAGCGGAAUUCCUGGUGUAGCGGUGAAAUGCGUAGAUAUCAGGAGGAACACCGGUGGCGAAGGCGGCUACCUGGACAGAAACUGACGCUGAGGCACGAAAGCUAGGGGAGCAAACAGG
RNAcentral lists this ribosomal RNA (253 nucleotides) under uncultured bacterium. RNAcentral describes it as "partial 16S ribosomal RNA". It matches the Rfam family "Bacterial small subunit ribosomal RNA", at positions 524 to 776 of the family's 1533-position model. The record is from RNAcentral.